Molecule: long non-coding RNA, 721 nt
Filed under: Androctonus crassicauda
Lineage: Eukaryota; Metazoa; Arthropoda; Arachnida; Scorpiones; Buthidae
Source: RNAcentral
UUUUUGAUUUCGUUACGAAUAGAUGAUCGCAUCUGGUUUUGCUGGAAGCUGGAUAAACACUACAGAAAGGUAUCUGGUUAGGUGUGUGCGUUGGAUGGAACCAUCGAAGUUUCCGAAAAAAUGUAAACAAUACUAUUAAAACAGAUGCGAUGAUCACGAGCGGAAGACGAGAGUGAACUAUGAACUCUGAUGGUAACAGUCUUAUCGACACAUUUCGUUUGUAUCCAGUCUCUACUGUAUUCGUUAUGACCGAAUUCUAGCCUUUGGUUUAUAAAAAUGAUUGGUUCCAAGCCUUUACAGUUGCAUUUAGUUCUAUUUAGACGCUAUUCUUCUUUCGCUGGUUCCAGAGGGAAUAGUCAGCCAAGAUGGAUCAAAGCCACGUUCCGUCUAGGAGGCACAUUGCUGGCUAGUGCCCUUUUCUUCUACGGAUACCAAACUGUGGUCCCAAGAGUCUGCGACUGUGAUGAUCGUGCCGGAUACGCGAUGGCUGUGAAGAAGAGCAGCGAUUUGAUAAGGAGAGUCAAGGUAAUAUUACAGACGAAACGGAUGACAUUUUAUCUUGUCGUUUGAAGUCUACAGAUAUCCAUCACUUCGGCUCACAGGGUCUAAAGCUGAUAGCAUGACCCUGUUAGAACUGUACUUAUAUAAGAUACUGUUUAAGCAAAAGCUAAGGCUUCAAAUGAAAAUUUCAGAUUUUACAAAACUGGAUGAUAAAGAUUUG